This 636-nucleotide ribosomal RNA is filed under the name uncultured fungus. RNAcentral describes it as "eukaryotic LSU rRNA". It matches the Rfam family "Eukaryotic large subunit ribosomal RNA", at positions 24 to 664 of the family's 3401-position model. Lineage: Eukaryota; Fungi. The record is from RNAcentral.
CCCGCUGAACUUAAGCAUAUCAAUAAGCGGAGGAAAAGAAACUAACAAGGAUUCCCCUAGUAACGGCGAGUGAAGCGGGAUGAGCUCAAAUUUAAAAUCUGGUAGUCUUCUGGCUACCCGAGUUGUAAUCUAGAGAAGUGUUUUCUGUGCUGGACUGUGUACAAGUUUCCUGGAUACGGAACAUCAUAGAGGGUGAGAAUCCCGUCCUUGACACAGGCCCCCAGUGCUUUGUGAUGCACUCUCGACGAGUCGAGUUGUUUGGGAUUGCAGCUCAAGAUGGGAGGUAAAUUCCUUCUAAAGCUAAAUAUUGGCGAGAGACCGAUAGCGAACAAGUACCGUGAGGGAAAGAUGAAAAGCACUUUGGAAAGAGAGUUAAACAGUACGUGAAAUUGUUAAAAGGGAAACGCUUGAAGUCAGUCACGUUUGCUUGGACUCAGCCUUACUUCGGUUUGGUGCAUUUCCUUGCAGACGGGCCAGCGUCCAUGUUGUUUGCCGGAGAAGGGGUGAGAGAAUGUGGCUCCUUUGGGAGUGUUAUAGCUCUUGCUCGUAUGCGGGGAAUGAUAUGGAGUGGUACAGCACACUUUGGUGGUGCUUGUGCUGGCAUAAUGGCUUUAAACGACCCGUCUUGAAACACGG